This 273-nucleotide unclassified non-coding RNA is filed under the name Hevea brasiliensis (rubber tree). The record is from RNAcentral. Lineage: Eukaryota; Viridiplantae; Streptophyta; Magnoliopsida; Malpighiales; Euphorbiaceae.
CUUCUGUGAAUUUCUAUGCUUAUGAGCGCUACAAGAGUUUGAUACAUUCAGUUCUUGGCCUGGAAAAACAGAGAGGGAGUGCUCCUGCAGAUCUUGCUGUACACUUUGUAGCUGGUGGGUUGUCAGGAAUAACAGCUGCUUCUGCAACAUAUCCACUAGAUCUUGUGAGGACGCGCCUUGCAGCACAGAGGAACACAAUCUACUACAGAGGUAUUGGGCAUGCAUUUCAUACCAUAUGCAGAGAAGAAGGGUUUUUGGGCCUGUAUAAGGGAC